This 442-nucleotide ribosomal RNA is filed under the name uncultured bacterium. RNAcentral's name for it is "bacterial SSU rRNA". It matches the Rfam family "Bacterial small subunit ribosomal RNA", at positions 958 to 1393 of the family's 1533-position model. The record is from RNAcentral.
AACGCGAAGAACCUUACUAAGGCUUGACAUAUACCGGAAACAUCCAGAGAUGGGUGCCCCCUUGUGGUCGGUAUACAGGUGGUGCAUGGCUGUCGUCAGCUCGUGUCGUGAGAUGUUGGGUUAAGUCCCGCAACGAGCGCAACCCUUGUCCUGUGUUGCCAGCAUGCCCUUCGGGGUGAUGGGGACUCACAGGAGACCGCCGGGGUCAACUCGGAGGAAGGUGGGGACGACGUCAAGUCAUCAUGCCCCUUAUGUCUUGGGCUGCACACGUGUUACAAUGGCCGGUACAAAGUGCUGCGAUGCCGUGAGGCGGAGCGAAUCUCAAAAAGCCGGUCUCAGUUCGGAUUGGGGUCUGCAACUCGACCCCAUGAAGUCGGAGUUGCUAGUAAUCGCAGAUCAGCAUUGCUGCGGUGAAUACGUUCCCGGGCCUUGUACACACCGA